AAAACGACUCUCGGCAACGGAUAUCUCGGCUCUCGCAUCGAUGAAGAACGUAGCGAAAUGCGAUACUUGGUGUGAAUUGCAGAAUCACGUGAACCAUCGAGUCUUUGAACGCAAGUUGCGCCCCAAGCCGUUAGGCCGAGGGCACGCCUGCCUGGGUGUCAC
Molecule: ribosomal RNA, 162 nt
Filed under: Acer stachyophyllum subsp. stachyophyllum
Lineage: Eukaryota; Viridiplantae; Streptophyta; Magnoliopsida; Sapindales; Sapindaceae
Description: 5.8S ribosomal RNA
Rfam family: 5.8S ribosomal RNA
About the family: 5.8S ribosomal RNA (5.8S rRNA) is a component of the large subunit of the eukaryotic ribosome.
Source: RNAcentral